CCUACGGGAGGCUGCAGUGAGGAAUAUUGGUCAAUGGCCGAGAGGCUGAACCAGCCAAGUCGCGUGAGGGAAGACGGCCCUACGGGUUGUAAACCUCUUUUGUCGGGGAGCAAAGCGAGUCACGUGUGACUCAUUGAGAGUACCCGACGAAAAAGCAUCGGCUAACUCCGUGCCAGCAGCCGCGGUAAUACGGAGGAUGCGAGCGUUAUCCGGAUUUAUGGGGUUAAAAGGGUGCGCAGGCGGAGGUGCAAGUCAGCGGGAAAAUUGCGGGGCCAAACCCCGUACUGCAGUUGAAACUGCAUGCCUUGAGUGCGCGAGAGGUAUGCGGAAUGCGUGGUGUAGCGGUGAAAUGCAUAGAUAUCACGCAGAACUCCGAUGGCGAAGGCAGCAUACCGGCGCGCAACUGACGCUGAGGCACGAAAGCGUGGGUAUCGAACAGGAUUAGAUACCCUGGUAGUC
RNAcentral lists this ribosomal RNA (459 nucleotides) under uncultured bacterium. RNAcentral describes it as "partial 16S ribosomal RNA". It matches the Rfam family "Bacterial small subunit ribosomal RNA", at positions 338 to 795 of the family's 1533-position model. The record is from RNAcentral.